Molecule: small nucleolar RNA, 77 nt
Organism: Amazona collaria (yellow-billed parrot)
Lineage: Eukaryota; Metazoa; Chordata; Aves; Psittaciformes; Psittacidae
Gene: SNORD83
Rfam family: Small nucleolar RNA SNORD83
About the family: U83 (SNORD83) and U84 (SNORD84) are members of the C/D class of snoRNA which contain the C (UGAUGA) and D (CUGA) box motifs. They act as guanine methylation guides but lack complementarity to ribosomal RNA.
Source: Ensembl
GCCAAAUGAUGUCAAUUUAGAUGGCAUUAGCACUCAGUGCAAAGAUGACCUUCAUCUAUCACCCCAGGCUGAUGGCU